This 437-nucleotide ribosomal RNA is filed under the name uncultured bacterium. Its description in RNAcentral is "bacterial SSU rRNA". It matches the Rfam family "Bacterial small subunit ribosomal RNA", at positions 339 to 793 of the family's 1533-position model. The record is from RNAcentral.
CUACGGGAGGCAGCAGUGGGGAAUUUUGCGCAAUGGGGGAAACCCUGACGCAGCGACGCCGCGUGGAGGAUGAAGUCCCUUGGGACGUAAACUCCUUUCGAUCGGGACGAUAAUGACGGUACCGGGAGAAGAAGCCCCGGCUAACUCCGUGCCAGCAGCCGCGGUAAUACGGGGGGGGCGAGCGUUGUUCGGAAUUAUUGGGCGUAAAGGGCGCGUAGGCGGUGUCGCAAGUCGGUAGUGAAAUCUCCAGGCUCAACCUGGAGUCUGCUGCCGAAACUGCGGUGCUUGAGUACUGGAGAGGUGAGUGGAAUUCCCGGUGUAGCGGUGAAAUGCGUAGAUAUCGGGAAGAACACCUGUGGCGAAAGCGGCUCACUGGACAGUAACUGACGCUGAGGCGCGAAAGCUAGGGGAGCAAACAGGAUUAGAUACACGCGUAC